RNAcentral lists this microRNA (24 nucleotides) under Homo sapiens (human). RNAcentral describes it as "hsa-miR-3976". Lineage: Eukaryota; Metazoa; Chordata; Mammalia; Primates; Hominidae. The record is from miRBase by way of RNAcentral.
UAUAGAGAGCAGGAAGAUUAAUGU